RNAcentral lists this ribosomal RNA (106 nucleotides) under Clostridium sp. K25. Its description in RNAcentral is "partial 16S ribosomal RNA". The stretch from base 1 to 91 matches the Rfam family "Bacterial small subunit ribosomal RNA", at positions 1443 to 1533 of the family's 1533-position model. The record is from RNAcentral. RNAcentral also lists the same sequence under 1 other name. Lineage: Bacteria; Bacillati; Bacillota; Clostridia; Eubacteriales; Clostridiaceae.
AAGGAGCCAGCGGUCGAAGGUGGGAUUGGUGAUUGGGGUGAAGUCGUAACAAGGUAGCCGUAGGAGAACCUGCGGCUGGAUCACCUCCUUUCUAGGGAGAAUGGAA